GGAUAACAUUUGGAAACAGAUGCUAAUACCGCAUAAGAUUACAGUACCGCAUGAUACAGUGAUCAAAGGAGCAAUCCGCUGAAAGAUGGGCUCGCGUCCGAUUAGAUAGUUGGUGAGGUAACGGCUUACCAAGUCGACGAUCGGUAGCCGGACUGAGAGGUUGAACGGCCACAUUGGGACUGAGACACGGCCCAGACUCCUACGGGAGGCAGCAGUGGGGAAUAUUGCACAAUGGGCGAAAGCCUGAUGCAGCAACGCCGCGUGAGGGAAGACGGUUUUCGGAUUGUAAACCUCUGUUUUCGGUGACGAACAAAUGACGGUAACCGAGUAGGAAGCCACGGCUAACUACGUGCCAGCAGCCGCGGUAAUACGUAGGUGGCAAGCGUUAUCCGGAAUUACUGGGUGUAAAGGGAGCGCAGGCGGGAUAGCAAGUCAGCUGUGAAAACUAUGGGCUCAACCCAUAAACUGCAGUUGAAACUGUUAUUCUUGAGUGGAGUAGAGGCAAGCGGAAUUCCGAGUGUAGCGGUGAAAUGCGUAGAUAUUCGGAGGAACACCAGUGGCGAAGGCGGCUUGCUGGGCUCUAACUGACGCUGAGGCUCGAAAGUGUGGGGAGCAAACAGGAUUAGAUACCCUGGUAGUCCACACUGUAAACGAUGAUUGCUAGGUGUGGGGGGUCUGACCCCCUCCGUGCCGGAG
RNAcentral lists this ribosomal RNA (696 nucleotides) under uncultured bacterium. RNAcentral's name for it is "bacterial SSU rRNA". It matches the Rfam family "Bacterial small subunit ribosomal RNA", at positions 141 to 851 of the family's 1533-position model. The record is from RNAcentral.